This 329-nucleotide ribosomal RNA is filed under the name uncultured eukaryote. Its description in RNAcentral is "partial 18S ribosomal RNA". It matches the Rfam family "Eukaryotic small subunit ribosomal RNA", at positions 1470 to 1796 of the family's 1831-position model. The record is from RNAcentral.
CCCUUAGAUGUCCUGGGCCGCACGCGCGCUACACUGAGUGUCUGAGAUACGAGUCUGCCUGGUCCGGCAAGGUCUAGGUAAUCGCUAAAAGACACAUCAUGCUUGGGAUAGAUUAUUGCAAAUAUUAAUCUUGAACGAGGAAUUCCUAGUAAGCGCAAGUCAACAGCUUGCGUUGAUUACGUCCCUGCCCUUUGUACACACCGCCCGUCGCUACUACUGAUUGGAUGUUUAAGCGAGGUUCUCGAACUGCUAGCGACUUAGCUUCGGUGAGGUCGCAGUGUGGGAAGUGAACCUAGCUUUGGUGUCGAGAGGAAGUAAAAGUCGGAACA